AAUAGUCAAUGACAUCGCAGGUCAAAGGAUCACUCAUACCAAUAUAGUAUCGAGAAGACUACUGACAAGUUAGUAGAUAUCCAUGUGAUUUCUCUAUUGGGUUUUGAUAGUGCAGCGAAAGGAUUAGGUAUUUAAAAUUUUUAUUCAAAAUAUUUGAUGCAUCGAAAAUCCUAAUGUCCAAAAAUCUUUGACUAUAUCAAUCAAAGUAUAAUUGAAUUAAACUAAGAUAAGAAGAAUACCUGUAACACAAAUCUAAUUUUUAUAAGGCGUUCAAGUGUCCGCCCUCCAAUGAUGAUCCAUAUGGAAAUUAAACC
This 314-nucleotide long non-coding RNA is filed under the name Elaeis guineensis (African oil palm). RNAcentral describes it as "long non-coding RNA (EGUI_LNC054963)". The record is from RNAcentral. Lineage: Eukaryota; Viridiplantae; Streptophyta; Magnoliopsida; Arecales; Arecaceae.